CCUAGCUCCACCUGCCUCCUCCUUCUUCCUUCAUCCCAGACAUACUAUACAUGAUGAAACUAAUGGCAAUCCGGUUGUCAGUAGUCAGUAUGUAGAGGCAAUGAUUUUUUAGAAGUGGAUGUGGCCUCAUAUGACAGGCAUCAAGUCAUUGGGACAAAGCGGUAAGGUUCAUCAUGGUGAUUUGUUGGAGUAUUCUUCAAUAAGGAUCGUGAAUGUUUACAGUGCAGAAAAAUAUGUGUUGGAAUGUUGAUGAAAUCAAAUAAUAGACCAAUUUUUUUGGUGGAGAUUCUUCUGUCUCAAAUUCUCAAUGUUGAGAUAGUUUGCCUCAGCAAGGCCGUAGGGGCGGUUUCUUUUCCUGCUCUGUGUUGGUUGCAAUGUGCAUGCAAGGAUUGGUCAUCAAUUUGGGAACACCUCAAUUCUGACAUGUACCAAUUUAGUACCAUUCAUGGUGGAGCCAUUCAGGUGAAUGAUCCAGUUAUCCAGGCAAGUACUAUUAUGCAUCUAGCAUUGACCUUAGUUUUUUUUUUCUAUUCAGUAUAAUCACUCGUCAUGUUUGGAACCAUUUGGUUGUAUUUGUCAAUGAAGUUUGAAUAUACAGGGUAGUUUGUGGGUA
Long non-coding RNA from Oryza sativa Japonica Group (Japanese rice), 613 nucleotides. RefSeq lists it as uncharacterized. NCBI's taxonomy places the organism in Eukaryota, Viridiplantae, Streptophyta, Magnoliopsida, Poales, Poaceae. The record is from RefSeq and is a predicted model, not a curated record.